Molecule: ribosomal RNA, 453 nt
Filed under: uncultured bacterium
Lineage: Bacteria
Description: partial 16S ribosomal RNA
Rfam family: Bacterial small subunit ribosomal RNA
Source: RNAcentral
ACGGGAGGCAGCAGUGAGGAAUAUUGGUCAAUGGACGAGAGUCUGAACCAGCCAAGUAGCGUGCAGGAUGACGGCCCUAUGGGUUGUAAACUGCUUUUGUACGGGAAUAAAGUGACCUACGUGUAGGUUUUUGCAUGUACCGUAAGAAUAAGGACCGGCUAAUUCCGUGCCAGCAGCCGCGGUAAUACGGAAGGUCCGGGCGUUAUCCGGAUUUAUUGGGUUUAAAGGGUGCGUAGGCGGGAAGUCAAGUCAGCCGUAAAAUCGCCGGGCUCAACCCGGUCCCGCGGUUGAAACUGUCUUCCUUGAGUACACUAGAGGGCGAUGGAAUUCGUGGUGUAGCGGUGAAAUGCAUAGAUAUCACGAAGAACUCCGAUUGCGUAGGCAGUCGCCUGGGGUGCCACUGACGCUGAGGCACGAAGGUGCGGGUAUCAAACAGGAUUAGAUACCCUGGUA